ACCACAAGACUUGUUAGGAAUAAUUAAUUAUCUGUAAUCAUUUUCUAUGGAAACUUUUAUGUCUGCCAACUUCCUUCUGUAAUCUCUUAAAAGUGAUGCUUGAAUCUUAGUAAAGUUGCAGCAGAUUCAAAUCUCAUUAGAGUUGUGUCUGUCUGUCAUUUGCCGAAUCCUGGGUUCUCCUGAGCCUUCACCCCUGUUCUCCCUUGGUCUUCGAUCUCCAAGAGAGUCAGUCCUUGGCAGGUGGCGCCCGAACAGGGACUUGAAGGACAGGAUGCGGACUCCCCCAUCUGGGUCCCGGACAGACUGGUGCGACCAGCGCCGCUGGAAGCGAAAAAAAAAUCAAAAGGAGACAACAGCAGCAGCUGCUCCAACAAGUGACUUGCGGUUUGCAGAAACUAAAACUACGGGAGAAACCAAAAGACCGGCUCACUUGGACAAAGAUUCGCACCUUAAUGUCUGCCAACUUCCUUCUGUAAUCUCUUAAAAGUGAUGCUUGAAUCUUAGUAAAGUUGCAGCAGAUUCAAAUCUCA
Alexandromys fortis (reed vole) is the source of this 530-nucleotide long non-coding RNA. RefSeq lists it as uncharacterized. The transcript is spliced from 2 exons. The record is from RefSeq and is a predicted model, not a curated record. NCBI's taxonomy places the organism in Eukaryota, Metazoa, Chordata, Mammalia, Rodentia, Cricetidae.